AUUGAACGCUGGCGGCAGGCCUAACACAUGCAAGUCGAGCGGUAACAUUUCAAAAGCUUGCUUUUGAAGAUGACGAGCGGCGGACGGGUGAGUAAUGGCUGGGAACAUGCCUUGAUGUGGGGGAUAACCAUUGGAAACGAUGGCUAAUACCGCAUAAUGUCUACGGGCCAAAGAGGGGGCUCUUAGGACCUCUCGCGUUAGGAUGGGCCCAGUUGGGAUUAGCUAGUUGGUGAGGUAAUGGCUCACCAAGGCGACGAUCCCUAGCUGGUUUGAGAGGAUGAUCAGCCACACUGGAACUGAGACACGGUCCAGACUCCUACGGAGGCAGCAGUGGGGAAUAUUGCACAAUGGGCGCAAGCCUGAUGCAGCCAUGCCGCGUGUGUGAAGAAGGCCUUCGGGUUGUAAAGCACUUUCAGCAGUGAGGAAGGUGGUGUAGUUAAUACCUGCGCCAUUUGACGUUAGCUGCAGAAGAAGCACC
This 478-nucleotide ribosomal RNA is filed under the name uncultured bacterium. RNAcentral's name for it is "bacterial SSU rRNA". It matches the Rfam family "Bacterial small subunit ribosomal RNA", at positions 30 to 494 of the family's 1533-position model. The record is from RNAcentral.